GGCAGGUCACAGCGGCCCAGCUCCGAGUGGGGGGGCGGCUGGGGGGUCCGGAGUGGGACCCCCCCCCUCCGCCUUUUGCUGGCCCCGUGCAGUGCAGACCCUCGUUGUCUUCGCUCGGCCGGUGGGCACGGACCCCUCUCCCCUCUUCUCCCACGCGGACUUUCCUUCUCCCCUUGGGCGCGGACUCCCCAUCCCGGGGCGCCGGGUGCCUUUUCUCUCCACUCAGGUCUAUGUGCAUCCUGAGUUUGCAGAGCGUUUGAUGGAGAUAUCUUGCAGUUGGCUCUUUGUGUCUUCCCCACUAGAAAGCCAGCUGCACCCGGCAGUGGUCUUCAUCUGUCUCAUCCACCGCUGAUUCAUUCCUACCAAGAACAGGGCCUGGCACACACCCCACCUCUGAUGCACAGCUGGGAAGUUUGCAGUUUUUCAGCCGUCCCUACAGUGCUUUAGCGGGCAUCUUGAACAUGUGUCUUUGUAAAUCAGAACUGCCAGACCCAGAUAGUUUUGUUGAUGAAUUCCACCCAACAGUUAAGGAAGAAAUGAUGCCAGUUCCACACUUUCAGAAAAUAAAAGGCAGACACACUUGAUUCAUUUUAUAAGGUCAGCAUUACCUGGAUUCUAAA
Long non-coding RNA from Herpailurus yagouaroundi (jaguarundi), 620 nucleotides. RefSeq lists it as uncharacterized. The record is from RefSeq and is a predicted model, not a curated record. The transcript is spliced from 4 exons. NCBI's taxonomy places the organism in Eukaryota, Metazoa, Chordata, Mammalia, Carnivora, Felidae.